This 145-nucleotide long non-coding RNA is filed under the name Pogona vitticeps (central bearded dragon). RNAcentral's name for it is "lncRNA (ENSPVIG00000014809.1)". The record is from RNAcentral. Lineage: Eukaryota; Metazoa; Chordata; Lepidosauria; Squamata; Agamidae.
AGGCUGGAUCCUCCUCCUGAUCUUUGUAACUAGAGAUGCUGAAGACUGAAUCUGGAGCCUUUUGUGUGCAGAGUUGGUCCACCAAUGAGCAGUGAUGGGGAGGAUGAUUGGGAUAAGCAAAGGUGUGUUACAGAGAAGUGUUUUC